RNAcentral lists this unclassified non-coding RNA (238 nucleotides) under Hevea brasiliensis (rubber tree). Lineage: Eukaryota; Viridiplantae; Streptophyta; Magnoliopsida; Malpighiales; Euphorbiaceae. The record is from RNAcentral.
CUUUGGUCUAUUGUGAGAUGAAAAAUGGUCAAUAAUGACCAAAAGAGGUGUGUGGGAAUUGUUGGAAUGAAAACCAAAUUCGUAGGUCCAAUGGUCAUGCUGCUGGCAGCAUGACCAAACCCACUUUGAAGGACCAAAACUCAAAUUUUACAAGUCCAAUUGAUAUGCCACUAAUUGGGGAUAAAAAUAGACAUAAAAGAGCACAAUUUUCAUUAAGGAACCAUGCCCAAAAACUGAC